This 254-nucleotide ribosomal RNA is filed under the name uncultured bacterium. Its description in RNAcentral is "partial 16S ribosomal RNA". It matches the Rfam family "Bacterial small subunit ribosomal RNA", at positions 524 to 776 of the family's 1533-position model. The record is from RNAcentral.
UACGGGGGGAGCAAGCGUUGUUCGGAUUUACUGGGCGUAAAGGGCGCGUAGGCGGUCAGCACAAGUCAGUUGUGAAAUCUCCGGGCUUAACUCGGAAAGGUCAACUGAUACUGUGCGACUAGAGUGCGGAAGGGGCAACUGGAAUUCUCGGUGUAGCGGUGAAAUGCGUAGAUAUCGAGAGGAACACCUGCGGCGAAGGCGGCAUCCUGGACCGGUAUUGACGCUGAGGCGCGAAAGCUAGGGUAGCAAACGGG